This 253-nucleotide ribosomal RNA is filed under the name uncultured bacterium. RNAcentral describes it as "partial 16S ribosomal RNA". It matches the Rfam family "Bacterial small subunit ribosomal RNA", at positions 524 to 776 of the family's 1533-position model. The record is from RNAcentral.
UACGUAGGGCGCAAGCGUUGUCCGGAAUUAUUGGGCGUAAAGAGCUCGUAGGUGGCGUGUCGCGUCUGCCGUGAAAGCCCAUGGCUUAACUGUGGGUCUGCGGUGGAUACGGGCAGGCUGGAGGCUGGUAGAGGCAAGCGGAAUUCCUGGUGUAGCGGUGAAAUGCGCAGAUAUCAGGAGGAACACCAGCAGCGAAGGCGGCGCUCUGGGCUGGAACUGACGCUGAGGAGCGAAAGCGUGGGUAGCAAACAGG